AGGGAUCAUUCACAUGAUAUUUUACCUUAUUAACAAACUGUGAACUUUAUAUACUAUUCGUGUUGUUUGUAAUUUAAUUACAAUCUAACACUGUCAUUCGAUGAACAUUAGAUAGCUGGCUUGUAUUUUUUUAAAUACUUUCUCAGCUUGAUUUGUUUUUUUUUGACUAAACAUCAUAAAACAAUCAACCAAACAUAGAAACAACUCUAUGCCCUGGAUAUCUUGGUUCUC
RNAcentral lists this unclassified non-coding RNA (231 nucleotides) under uncultured fungus. RNAcentral's name for it is "partial contains 18S rRNA, ITS1, 5.8S rRNA, ITS2 and 28S rRNA". Lineage: Eukaryota; Fungi. The record is from RNAcentral.